GUGCAGCAGUCGAGAAUCUUCGGCAAUGGGCGAAAGCCUGACCGAGCGACGCCGCGUGCCCGAAGAAGCCUUUCGGGGUGUAAAAGGGCUUUUCUUGGGGAUAAAUUCGCUCCUCACUUUCGUUCGGAAUUAUAUUGAGAAACGAGCGGAAGUGAGGAGCGAAUGAUAGUACCCAAGGAAUAAGGGACCUCUAAUCACGUGCCAGCAGAGGCGGUAAUACGUGAGUCCCAAGCGUUAUCCGGAAUUACUGGGCGUAAAGCGUGCGUAGGCGGUCCAAAUAGUCAUGUGUUAAAUCCUUAAGCUCAACUUAAGGGCUGCAUAUGAUACGUUUGGACUAGACCCAGUCAGAGGCCGGCGGAACCCACGGUGUAGGGGUGAAAUCCGUUGAUAUCGUGGGGAACACCAAAGGCGAAGGCAGUCGGCUGGGGCUAAGGGUGACGCUGAGGCACGAAAGCGUGGGUAGCGAAGAGGAUUAGACUACCCCGGUAGU
Molecule: ribosomal RNA, 490 nt
Filed under: uncultured microorganism
Description: bacterial SSU rRNA
Rfam family: Bacterial small subunit ribosomal RNA
Source: RNAcentral